This 501-nucleotide ribosomal RNA is filed under the name Sesarma rhizophorae. Its description in RNAcentral is "partial 16S ribosomal RNA". Lineage: Eukaryota; Metazoa; Arthropoda; Malacostraca; Decapoda; Sesarmidae. The record is from RNAcentral.
GUCUGUUUGUAGAUAUAAAAAGUCUAGCCUGCCCACUGAUAAGUAAUUUUAAUGGCCGCGGUAUUUCUGACUGUGCAAAGGUAGCAUAAUAGUUAGUUUCUUAAUUGGAAUCUUGUAUGAAUGGUUUGACAAGAAAAAAUCUGUCUCACAAUUAUUUAUUGAAUUUAACUUUUAAGUGAAAAGGCUUAAAUGAAUUAAAAAGACGAUAAGACCCUAUAAAGCUUAAUAUUAUUUUAUUAUUUAAUAGAAUUUUUUUAAAUAUAAAUGUUUGGUAAUAAUUUAUAUUUUAUUGGGGUGAUAAUAAUAAAAUGAUUAUUAACUGUUAAUUAUUUAAAACAAAAAUAAAUGAAUAUAAAUAAUUUAGUAAAUGAUCCUAUAUUAAAGAUUAAAAGUUUAAGUUACUUUAGGGAUAACAGCGUUAUUUUUUUUGAGAGUUCUUAUCGAAAAAAAAGUNUGCGACCUCGAUGUUGAAUUAAAAUAUCUAUAUAAUUGCAGUAGUUA